CAGUAGCCGCGGUAAUACGUAGGUGGCAAGCGUUGUCCGGAAUUAUUGGGCGUAAAGGGCUCGCAGGCGGUUUCUUAAGUCUGACGUGAAAGCCCCCGGCUCAACCGGGGAGGGUCGUUGGAAACUGGGAAACUUGAGUGCAGAAGAGGAGAGUGGAAUUCCACGUGUAGCGGUGAAAUGCGCAGAGAUGUGGAGGAACACCAGUGGCGAAGGCGACUCUCUGGUCUGUAACUGACGCUGAGGAGCGAAAGCGUGGGGAGCGAACAGGAUUAGAUACCCCUGUAGUCCCUGUCUCUUAUAC
This 301-nucleotide ribosomal RNA is filed under the name uncultured bacterium. Its description in RNAcentral is "partial 16S ribosomal RNA". It matches the Rfam family "Bacterial small subunit ribosomal RNA", at positions 509 to 807 of the family's 1533-position model. The record is from RNAcentral.